RNAcentral lists this long non-coding RNA (454 nucleotides) under Neodiprion pinetum (white pine sawfly). Its description in RNAcentral is "uncharacterized LOC124215555". Lineage: Eukaryota; Metazoa; Arthropoda; Insecta; Hymenoptera; Diprionidae. The record is from RNAcentral.
GCGAGUGGUGGAAAGCUAAUCUUAUCAGCGAUUAUUAGCGGACGACGGGCGUCCAGAUAACGGUUUGGUAUAAAAUACCGGGCCGGCUAACUGAUAGGCAAACCCAACUAGUCAAGUUUUUUCACUUUUCUCGAGAAAUCCGCAGAGUAAUAGAAAGAGAAAUGGGAGCACCAGGUGGACCACCCGAUGGACCCGAUGGAAAGGGAGGACAGCAGGGUGGACCAAAUGACGGUCCCGGAGGCCACGGAGGCCAGGGAGGCCAUGGAGGUCAGGGAGGUCACGGAGGACCUAACGAUGGUCCCGGAGGACAGGGAGGACACGGUGGCCCACACUAACGAGUCCGCGAAAGAAGAGCAUAUCGUCUCAAUGCUUGAAUAAUAGUUGGCCGCAUUUCUCAUUGUUGGUGGCCGAUAUGGACAUUUUUGAUGAAUAAACAUUUUUGUAUUGUACAGAA